AUUGAACGCUGGCGGCAGGCCUAACACAUGCAAGUCUAGCGAGCGGCGGACGGGUGAGUAAUGUAUGGGGACUGCCCGAUAGAGGGGGAUAACUACUGGAAACGGUGGCUAAUACCGCAUACUAUCGGAUAACCCAUAUGGGAUUAGCUAGUAGGUGGGGUAAAGGCUCACCUAGGCGACGAUCCCUAGCUGGUCUGAGAGGAUGGUCGGCCAAACCGGGACUGAGACACGGCCCAGAAUCCUACGGAGGCAGCAGUGGGGAAUAUUGCACAAUGGGCGCAAGCCGGAUGCAGCAAGGCCGCGUGUAUGAAGAAGGCCAUAGAGUUGUAAAGUACUUUCAGUCGGGAGGAGUUACCGGAAGAAGAAGAACGGGAUAACUCCAUGCCAGCAGCCGCGGUAAUUC
This 403-nucleotide ribosomal RNA is filed under the name uncultured bacterium. RNAcentral's name for it is "partial 16S ribosomal RNA". It matches the Rfam family "Bacterial small subunit ribosomal RNA", at positions 29 to 526 of the family's 1533-position model. The record is from RNAcentral.